RNAcentral lists this ribosomal RNA (289 nucleotides) under uncultured Prevotella sp. Its description in RNAcentral is "partial 16S ribosomal RNA". The record is from RNAcentral. Lineage: Bacteria; Pseudomonadati; Bacteroidota; Bacteroidia; Bacteroidales; Prevotellaceae.
CUACUAGGGUUUCUAAUCCUGUUCGAUACCCGCACCUUCGAGCCUAAACGUCAGUUGGGAUAUGGUACGCUGCCUUCGCAAUCGGAGUUCCUCGUGAUAUCUAAGCAUUUCACCGCUACACCACGAAUUCCGCGUACCUACGGCCCACUCAAGCAAGCCAGUUCGCGCAGCAGGACCGUGGUUGGGCCACGGCGUUUCACUGCACGCUUGACAAGCAGUCUGCGCUCCCUUUAAACCCAAUAAAUCCGGAUAACGCCGGGACCUUCCGUAUUACCGCGGCUGCUGGCAC